AAUGAACGUUGGCGGCGUGGAUUAGGCAUGCAAGUCGAGCGGAAAGGCCCGCAAGGGCACUCGAGCGGCGUAGGGGACAGUAAUGUGUAGGUACGUACCCCUGGGUCUUGGAUAGCUGCGGGAAACUGCAAUUAAUACUAGAUGAUGUCUUCGGACCAAAGGUGUGAUUCCACCCAUGGAGCGGCCUACCUCCUAUUAGCUAGGUGGUGGGGUGACGGCUCACGAAGGCGAAGAUGGGUAGCAGGUGUGAGAGCACGACCUGCGUCACUGGGACUGAGACACCGCCCAGACACCGACGGGUGGCUGCAGUCGAGAAUCGGCAGCAAUGGGCGAAAGCCUGACCGAGCGACGCCGCGUGCGGGAUGAAGGCCUGCGGGUUGUAAACCGCUGUCGGAGGGGAUGAAAUGCCGAUGGGUACGCCCAACGGCUUGACUGAUCCUCGGAGGAAGGGUGGGCUAAGUUCGUG
RNAcentral lists this ribosomal RNA (466 nucleotides) under uncultured bacterium. Its description in RNAcentral is "partial 16S ribosomal RNA". It matches the Rfam family "Bacterial small subunit ribosomal RNA", at positions 28 to 507 of the family's 1533-position model. The record is from RNAcentral.